CCUAUGGAGUGUACAAGAACCUGUAAGUAGAUAUUGUAGAAAUACAAAUUGAAAGCAUACACAAUGAAGUAGGAA
Molecule: non-coding RNA, 75 nt
Filed under: unclassified sequences
Description: RAGATH-18 RNA
Rfam family: RAGATH-18 RNA
About the family: Actinobacteria, Firmicutes, Fusobacteria, Thermotogae (1 example).
Source: Rfam by way of RNAcentral